RNAcentral lists this ribosomal RNA (761 nucleotides) under Trichocomaceae sp. LM138. RNAcentral's name for it is "SSU rRNA". It matches the Rfam family "Eukaryotic small subunit ribosomal RNA", at positions 26 to 796 of the family's 1831-position model. The record is from RNAcentral. Lineage: Eukaryota; Fungi; Ascomycota; Eurotiomycetes; Eurotiales; Trichocomaceae.
AUAUCUUGUCUCAAAGAUUAAGCCAUGCAUGUCUAAGUAUAAGCAAUCUAUACUGUGAAACUGCGAAUGGCUCAUUAAAUCAGUUAUCGUUUAUUUGAUAGUACCUUACUACAUGGAUACCUGUGGUAAUUCUAGAGCUAAUACAUGCUAAAAACCCCGACUUCGGGAGGGGUGUAUUUAUUAGAUAAAAAACCAAUGCCCCUCGGGGCUCCUUGGUGAAUCAUAAUAACUUAACGAAUCGCAUGGCCUUGCGCCGGCGAUGGUUCAUUCAAAUUUCUGCCCUAUCAACUUUCGAUGGUAGGAUAGUGGCCUACCAUGGUGGCAACGGGUAACGGGGAAUUAGGGUUCGAUUCCGGAGAGGGAGCCUGAGAAACGGCUACCACAUCCAAGGAAGGCAGCAGGCGCGCAAAUUACCCAAUCCCGACACGGGGAGGUAGUGGACAAUAAAUACUGAUACGGGGCUCUUUUGGGUCUCGUAAUUGGAAUGAGUACAAUCUAAAUCCCUUAACGAGGAACAAUUGGAGGGCAAGUCUGGUGCCAGCAGCCGCGGUAAUUCCAGCUCCAAUAGCGUAUAUUAAAGUUGUUGCAGUUAAAAAGCUCGUAGUUGAACCUUGGGUCUGGCUGGCCGGUCCGCCUCACCGCGAGUACUGGUCCGGCUGGACCUUUCCUUCUGGGGAAUCCCAUGGGCCUUCACUGGCUGUGGGUGGAACCAGGGACUUUUACUGUGAAAAAAUUAAAAUGUUCAAAGCAGGCCUUUGCUC